AACCGUGUGCUUACAAGUAGUCAGAGCCCGUUAAUGGGUGAUGGCGUGCCUUUUGUAGAAUGAACCGGCGAGUUACGAUUUGAUGCAAGGUUAAGCAGUAAAUGUGGAGCCGUAGCGAAAGCGAGUCUGAAUAGGGCGUUUAGUAUUUGGUCGUAGACCCGAAACCAGGUGAUCUACCCUUGGUCAGGUUGAAGUUCAGGUAACACUGAAUGGAGGACCGAACCGACUUACGUUGAAAAGUGAGCGGAUGAACUGAGGGUAGCGGAGAAAUUCCAAUCGAACCUGGAGAUAGCUGGUUCUCUCCGAAAU
RNAcentral lists this ribosomal RNA (309 nucleotides) under Staphylococcus aureus. Its description in RNAcentral is "partial 23S ribosomal RNA". It matches the Rfam family "Bacterial large subunit ribosomal RNA", at positions 554 to 865 of the family's 2925-position model. Lineage: Bacteria; Bacillati; Bacillota; Bacilli; Caryophanales; Staphylococcaceae. The record is from RNAcentral.